AGAGAGAGACAGAGAGAAAGAGAGAGAGAUAGAGAGGGGCAGAGAGAGAGAGAGAGGUAGAGAGAGAGAGGGGGAGAAGGAAAGAGGGGCGGGUACGUGAGCACUGAGUGAGGUUGGCUGAGAAUAAGAGUGUGUGACAGGGAAACUGUUGCACGCGUUGCACUUUAACACAAUAUCUCCCUUUUGAAGGAGAUUCAAGCUUUCUUUGGACUUGCUCUAUGACCGGGCGGUUUUACUGGGUUGUCUGACUACGGAUGAACUCAAGACAACAGGCCUAAUCUAUUCAGCAGCAGACGGAAUACAAUACGACUACGGUUCAUUCACAACUAUUUAGACGUUAAAAUGACAGGGAAAAUCCUCCUUCUUAUACUGGAGUUACUGUUUAUGCUCAAGGGUUCCUAUUCAUUCUGCCGAGUAGUUGAUGCCCACGUGACAAAAGAAGAGUGUGAACAGAACACAUUCGGUAUAUGUGGACACCACGCAAAGUGUACCUUCACUCCGAUAAGUCCCUGCUGCGAGUGUCUGCCUGGGUUCAACCGACGACUGGUGUUGGACACAUUUAACA
Long non-coding RNA from Gadus macrocephalus (Pacific cod), 565 nucleotides. RefSeq lists it as uncharacterized. NCBI's taxonomy places the organism in Eukaryota, Metazoa, Chordata, Actinopteri, Gadiformes, Gadidae. The transcript is spliced from 3 exons. The record is from RefSeq and is a predicted model, not a curated record.